RNAcentral lists this ribosomal RNA (164 nucleotides) under Thinopyrum intermedium. RNAcentral describes it as "5.8S ribosomal RNA". It matches the Rfam family "5.8S ribosomal RNA". Rfam says of the family: 5.8S ribosomal RNA (5.8S rRNA) is a component of the large subunit of the eukaryotic ribosome. It is transcribed by RNA polymerase I as part of the 45S precursor that also contains 18S and 28S rRNA. Functionally, it is thought that 5.8S rRNA may be involved in ribosome translocation. Lineage: Eukaryota; Viridiplantae; Streptophyta; Magnoliopsida; Poales; Poaceae. The record is from RNAcentral.
CACACGACUCUCGGCAACGGAUAUCACGGCUCUCGCAUCGAUGAAGAACGUAGCGAAAUGCGAUACCUGGUGUGAAUUGCAGAAUCCCGCGAACCAUCGAGUCUUUGAACGCAAGUUGCGCCCGAGGCCACUCGGCCGAGGGCACGCCUGCCUGGGCGUCACGC